Molecule: ribosomal RNA, 446 nt
Filed under: uncultured bacterium
Lineage: Bacteria
Description: partial 16S ribosomal RNA
Rfam family: Bacterial small subunit ribosomal RNA
Source: RNAcentral
CCUACGGGAGGCAGCAGUAGGGAAUUUUCGGCAAUGGGGGGAACCCUGACCGAGCAACGCCGCGUGAACGAAGAAGUUAUUCGUAAUGUAACGUUCUUUUAACAGGGAAGCAAGAGAAAUUUGACGGUACCUGAAGAAUACGCUCCGGCUAACUACGUGCCAGCAGCCGCGGUAAUACGUAGGGAGCGAGCGUUAUCCGGAAUUAUUGGGCGUAGAGGGUGCGUAGAUGGCAUAGUAAGUCUUUUGUAAAAAUGCUGGGCUCAACCCAGUAGGGCAAAAGAUACUGCAAAGCUAGAGUAUGACAGAGGCAAGUGGAACUAAAGGGGGAGCGGUAAAAGGCGUAAAGAUAUGUAAGAACACCAGUGGCGAAGGCGGCUUGCUGGGUCGAUACGGACAUGGAGGCACGAAAGCGUGGGGAGCAAACAGGAGUAGAUACCCUGGUAGUC